Molecule: ribosomal RNA, 656 nt
Filed under: Acinetobacter baumannii OIFC032
Lineage: Bacteria; Pseudomonadati; Pseudomonadota; Gammaproteobacteria; Moraxellales; Moraxellaceae
Description: bacterial SSU rRNA
Rfam family: Bacterial small subunit ribosomal RNA
Source: RNAcentral
AUUGAACGCUGGCGGCAGGCUUAACACAUGCAAGUCGAGCGGGGGAAGGUAGCUUGCUACUGGACCUAGCGGCGGACGGGUGAGUAAUGCUUAGGAAUCUGCCUAUUAGUGGGGGACAACAUCUCGAAAGGGAUGCUAAUACCGCAUACGUCCUACGGGAGAAAGCAGGGGAUCUUCGGACCUUGCGCUAAUAGAUGAGCCUAAGUCGGAUUAGCUAGUUGGUGGGGUAAAGGCCUACCAAGGCGACGAUCUGUAGCGGGUCUGAGAGGAUGAUCCGCCACACUGGGACUGAGACACGGCCCAGACUCCUACGGGAGGCAGCAGUGGGGAAUAUUGGACAAUGGGGGGAACCCUGAUCCAGCCAUGCCGCGUGUGUGAAGAAGGCCUUAUGGUUGUAAAGCACUUUAAGCGAGGAGGAGGCUACUUUAGUUAAUACCUAGAGAUAGUGGACGUUACUCGCAGAAUAAGCACCGGCUAACUCUGUGCCAGCAGCCGCGGUAAUACAGAGGGUGCGAGCGUUAAUCGGAUUUACUGGGCGUAAAGCGUGCGUAGGCGGCUUAUUAAGUCGGAUGUGAAAUCCCCGAGCUUAACUUGGGAAUUGCAUUCGAUACUGGUGAGCUAGAGUAUGGGAGAGGAUGGUAGAGUUCCAGGUGUAG